RNAcentral lists this unclassified non-coding RNA (336 nucleotides) under Hevea brasiliensis (rubber tree). The record is from RNAcentral. Lineage: Eukaryota; Viridiplantae; Streptophyta; Magnoliopsida; Malpighiales; Euphorbiaceae.
GAGAUCAACAGAGGAAGAGCAUGGGUUAGGUGUGGUUAAGUGCGGAAGAGAAUGGCGAUGGUGUCACUGAUGUGAAAUCAGGGCACUAUGCAAAGGGGAGUGGGUUGUGGGUGCUGCAAGGAAAUGGGCGAGGAGGCAGUAAUGCAAUUGUGACGAAGGGAAAUGACGUCGAGCUUGGCAGUGUGGAGAGCAACAAGACUGUGUGAUGACAAGUAUCGAUGGGUGUGGAAGGUUGAGAGUGAGUCUGUGUUGUGUUGUGAGAUUAAAGAUGUAAGAAAGAGGAAGGGAGUUGAGAUAGGGGAGAAGAGAUGAUGGUAGGCGUCGGGGCUGUGAAUA